UGCGUAGGCGGCCCGGGAAGUUGGGUGUGAAAUCCCUCGGCUCAACCGAGGAACUGCGCCCAAAACUGCCGGGCUUGAGGGAGAUAGAGGUGAGCGGAACUUAGGGUGGAGCGGUGAAAUGCGUUGAUAUCCUAAGGAACACCAGUAGCGAAAGCGGCUCACUGGGUCUUUUCUGACGCUGAGGCACGAAAGCUAGGGGAGCGAAGAGGAUUAGAUACCCUCGUAGUCCUAGCUGUAAACGAUGAGCACUGGGUUGGAGGGUCCUCCAUAGCCCUCUAGCCGUAGCGAAAGUGUUAAGUGCUCCGCCUGGGGAGUAUGGUCGCAAGGCUGAA
RNAcentral lists this ribosomal RNA (332 nucleotides) under uncultured bacterium. Its description in RNAcentral is "bacterial SSU rRNA". It matches the Rfam family "Bacterial small subunit ribosomal RNA", at positions 568 to 898 of the family's 1533-position model. The record is from RNAcentral.